CCUACGGGAGGCAGCAGUGGGGGAUAUUGCACAAUGGGGGGAACCCUGAUGCAGCGACGCCGCGUGGGUGAAGGAGUGCUUCGGCAUGUAAAGCCCUAUCGGCAGGGAAGAAGCAAGACGGUACCUGACUAAGAAGCCCCGGCUAACUACGUGCCAGCAGCCGCGGUAAUACGUAGGGGGCGAGCGUUAUCCGGAUUCACUGGGUGUAAAGGGAGCGUAGACGGCCAUGCAAGCCAGGGGUGAAAGCCCGGGGCCCAACCCCGGGACUGCCCUUGGAACUGCAUGGCUGGAGUGCGGGAGGGGCAGGCGGAAUUCCUGGUGUAGCGGUGAAAUGCGUAGAUAUCAGGAGGAACACCGGCGGCGAAGGCGGCCUGCUGGACUGCGACUGACGUUGAGGCUCGAAAGCGUGGGGAGUGAACAGGAUUAGAUACCCUGGUAGUC
This 441-nucleotide ribosomal RNA is filed under the name uncultured bacterium. RNAcentral's name for it is "partial 16S ribosomal RNA". It matches the Rfam family "Bacterial small subunit ribosomal RNA", at positions 338 to 795 of the family's 1533-position model. The record is from RNAcentral.